CCCUUAGAUGUUCUGGGCCGCACGCGCGCUACACUGAUGCAUUCAACGAGUCUAAAACCUGCUCUGAUAGGGGUGGGUAAUCUUUUGAAUGUGCAUCGUGAUUGGGAUAGAUGAUUGAAAUUUUUCAUCUUCAACGAGGAAUGCCUAGUAAACGCAAGUCAUCAGCUUGCAUUGAUUACGUCCCUGCCCUUUGUACACACCGCCCGUCGCUCCUACCGAUUGAAUGAUCCGAUGAAUAUCAUGGAUUGAGGAUGCAAGUAGGUUCACCUAUCUUCAUCUUCGAGAAGUGAAGUAAAUCUUAUCAUUUAGAGGAAGGAGAAGUCGUAACA
This 329-nucleotide ribosomal RNA is filed under the name uncultured eukaryote. RNAcentral's name for it is "partial 18S ribosomal RNA". It matches the Rfam family "Eukaryotic small subunit ribosomal RNA", at positions 1470 to 1796 of the family's 1831-position model. The record is from RNAcentral.